GGUUAAAAAGCUCGUAGUUGGAUUUCUGCUGAAGCAAACCGGUCCGCCCUCUGGGUGAGCAUCUGGUUUUGUUUUGGCAUAUGCUUAGACUUUGCAGCUGCACUUGACUGUGUGGUGUAAAGGCUGAGCCAUUUACUUUGAGGAAAUCAGAGUGUUUCAAGCAGGCCAUUGCCUUGAAUACACUAGCAUGGAAUAAUAUGAUAUGACUGUGGUUUUAUUUUGUUGGCUUUUAGAAUUAGAGUAAUGGUUAAUAGGGAUAGUUGGGGGCAUUCAUAUUUAACUGUCAGAGGUGAAAUUCUUGGAUUUGUUAAGGAUGAACGACUGCGAAAGCAUUUGCCAAGGAUGCUUUCAUUGAUCAAGAACGAAAGUUAGGGGAUCGAAGACGAUUAGAUACCGUCCUAGUCUUAACCAUAAACCAGGCCAACUAGAGAUUGGAGAUUGUUAUGUGCAUGACUCCUUCAGCACCUUAUGAUAAAUCAAAGUCUUUGGGUUCCGGGGGGAGUAUGGUCGCAAGGCUGAAACUUAAAGGAAUUGACGGAAGGGCACCACCAGGAGUGGAGCCUGCGGCUUAAUUUGACUCAACACGGGGAAACUUACCAGGUCCAGACAUAGUAAGGAUUGACAGAUUGAUAGCUCUUUCUUGAUUCUAUGGGUGGUGGUGCAU
This 664-nucleotide ribosomal RNA is filed under the name uncultured marine eukaryote. RNAcentral describes it as "SSU rRNA". It matches the Rfam family "Eukaryotic small subunit ribosomal RNA", at positions 617 to 1285 of the family's 1831-position model. The record is from RNAcentral.